Molecule: transfer RNA, 74 nt
Filed under: Chloroflexota bacterium
Lineage: Bacteria; Bacillati; Chloroflexota
Description: Chloroflexi bacterium (groundwater metagenome) tRNA-Val
Rfam family: tRNA
About the family: Transfer RNA (tRNA) molecules are approximately 80 nucleotides in length. Their secondary structure includes four short double-helical elements and three loops (D, anti-codon, and T loops).
Source: RNAcentral
GCUCCUGUAGCUCAAUUGGGCAGAGCAUCUUCCUUACACGAAGGGGGUUGGCAGUUCGAGUCUGUCCGGGAGCA